Molecule: ribosomal RNA, 2940 nt
Filed under: Priestia megaterium
Lineage: Bacteria; Bacillati; Bacillota; Bacilli; Caryophanales; Bacillaceae
Description: bacterial LSU rRNA
Rfam family: Bacterial large subunit ribosomal RNA
Source: RNAcentral
AUGGUUAAGUUAGAAAGGGCGCACGGUGAAUGCCUUGGCACUAGGAGCCGAUGAAGGACGGGACUAACACCGAUAUGCUUCGGGGAGCUGUAAGUGAGCUUUGAUCCGGAGAUUUCCGAAUGGGGAAACCCACUGUUCGUAAUGGAACAGUAUCUUUAUCUGAAUACAUAGGAUAUUGAAGGCAGACCCGGGGAACUGAAACAUCUAAGUACCCGGAGGAAGAGAAAGCAAAUGCGAUUUCCUGAGUAGCGGCGAGCGAAACGGAAUUAGCCCAAACCAAGAGGCUUGCCUCUUGGGGUUGUAGGACACUCUAUACGGAGUUACAAAGGAACGAAGUAAAUGAAGCGACCUGGAAAGGUCCGUCGAAGAAGGUAACAACCCUGUAGUUGAAACUUCGUUCCCUCUUGAGUGGAUCCUGAGUACGGCGGAACACGUGAAAUUCCGUCGGAAGCUGGGAGGACCAUCUCCCAAGGCUAAAUACUACCUAGUGACCGAUAGUGAACCAGUACCGUGAGGGAAAGGUGAAAAGCACCCCGGAAGGGGAGUGAAAGAGAUCCUGAAACCGUGUGCCUACAAGUAGUCAGAGCCCGUUAAUGGGUGAUGGCGUGCCUUUUGUAGAAUGAACCGGCGAGUUACGAUCCCAUGCAAGGUUAAGCUGAUAAGGCGGAGCCGUAGCGAAAGCGAGUCUGAAUAGGGCGUUUAGUAUGUGGUUGUAGACCCGAAACCAGGUGAUCUACCCAUGUCCAGGGUGAAGUUCAGGUAACACUGAAUGGAGGCCCGAACCCACGCACGUUGAAAAGUGCGGGGAUGAGGUGUGGGUAGCGGAGAAAUUCCAAUCGAACCUGGAGAUAGCUGGUUCUCUCCGAAAUAGCUUUAGGGCUAGCCUCAUGUUGUGAGAGUCUUGGAGGUAGAGCACUGAUUGGACUAGGGGCCCCCAACGGGUUACCGAAUUCAGUCAAACUCCGAAUGCCAAAGACUUAUCCAUGGGAGUCAGACUGCGAGUGAUAAGAUCCGUAGUCAAAAGGGAAACAGCCCAGACCACCAGCUAAGGUCCCCAAGUAUACGUUAAGUGGAAAAGGAUGUGGAGUUGCUUAGACAACCAGGAUGUUGGCUUAGAAGCAGCCACCAUUUAAAGAGUGCGUAAUAGCUCACUGGUCGAGUGACUCUGCGCCGAAAAUGUACCGGGGCUAAACGUAUCACCGAAGCUGUGGAUUGACAUCUUUGAUGUCAGUGGUAGGAGAGCGUUCUAAGUGCAGCGAAGUCAGACCGUAAGGACUGGUGGAGCGCUUAGAAGUGAGAAUGCCGGUAUGAGUAGCGAAAGACAAGUGAGAAUCUUGUCCACCGAAUGCCUAAGGUUUCCUGAGGAAGGCUCGUCCGCUCAGGGUUAGUCGGGACCUAAGCCGAGGCUGAAAAGCGUAGGCGAUGGCCAACAGGUUGAUAUUCCUGUACCACCUCCCCGCCGUUUGAGUAAUGGGGGGACGCAGUAGGAUAGGGUAAGCGCGCUGCUGGAUAUGCGCGUUCAAGCAGUUAGGCUGAUGAGUAGGCAAAUCCGCUCAUCAUAAAGGCUGAGCUGUGAUGACGAGGGAAUUAUAGUACCGAAGUUCCUGAUUCCACACUGCCAAGAAAAGCCUCUAGCGAGGCGGGAGGUGCCCGUACCGCAAACCGACACAGGUAGGCGAGGAGAGAAUCCUAAGGUGAUCGAGAGAACUCUCGUUAAGGAACUCGGCAAAAUGACCCCGUAACUUCGGGAGAAGGGGUGCUCUGGUAGGGUGUAUAGCCCGAGAGAGCCGCAGUGAAUAGGCCCAGGCGACUGUUUAGCAAAAACACAGGUCUCUGCGAAGCCGCAAGGCGAAGUAUAGGGGCUGACGCCUGCCCGGUGCUGGAAGGUUAAGAGGAGGGGUUAUCCUUUGGGAGAAGCUCUGAAUCGAAGCCCCAGUAAACGGCGGCCGUAACUAUAACGGUCCUAAGGUAGCGAAAUUCCUUGUCGGGUAAGUUCCGACCCGCACGAAAGGCGUAACGAUCUGGGCACUGUCUCAACGAGAGACUCGGUGAAAUUAUAGUACCUGUGAAGAUGCAGGUUACCCGCGACAGGACGGAAAGACCCCGUGGAGCUUUACUGUAGCCUGAUAUUGAAUUUUGGUACAGCUUGUACAGGAUAGGUAGGAGCCUGAGAAGCCGGAGCGCUAGCUUCGGUGGAGGCGUCGGUGGGAUACUACCCUGGCUGUAUUGAAAUUCUAACCCGCGGCCCUGAUCGGGCCGGGAGACAGUGUCAGGUGGGCAGUUUGACUGGGGCGGUCGCCUCCUAAAAUGUAACGGAGGCGCCCAAAGGUUCCCUCAGAAUGGUUGGAAAUCAUUCGUAGAGUGUAAAGGCACAAGGGAGCUUGACUGCGAGACCUACAAGUCGAGCAGGGACGAAAGUCGGGCUUAGUGAUCCGGUGGUUCCGCAUGGAAGGGCCAUCGCUCAACGGAUAAAAGCUACCCCGGGGAUAACAGGCUUAUCUCCCCCAAGAGUCCACAUCGACGGGGAGGUUUGGCACCUCGAUGUCGGCUCAUCGCAUCCUGGGGCUGUAGUCGGUCCCAAGGGUUGGGCUGUUCGCCCAUUAAAGCGGUACGCGAGCUGGGUUCAGAACGUCGUGAGACAGUUCGGUCCCUAUCCGUCGUGGGCGUAGGAAAUUUGAGAGGAGCUGUCCUUAGUACGAGAGGACCGGGAUGGACACACCGCUGGUGUACCAGUUGUCUUGCCAAAGGCAUCGCUGGGUAGCUAUGUGUGGACGGGAUAAGUGCUGAAAGCAUCUAAGCAUGAAGCCCCCCUCAAGAUGAGAUUUCCCAUAGCGCAAGCUAGUAAGAUCCCUGAAAGAUGAUCAGGUUGAUAGGUCAGAGGUGGAAGCGUGGCGACAUGUGUAGCUGACUGAUACUAAUCGAUCGAGGACUUAACCAAAA